RNAcentral lists this long non-coding RNA (925 nucleotides) under Daucus carota (carrot). Its description in RNAcentral is "long non-coding RNA (DCAR_LNC000366)". The record is from RNAcentral. Lineage: Eukaryota; Viridiplantae; Streptophyta; Magnoliopsida; Apiales; Apiaceae.
CGGCCUUCUUCUGAGAACCCUGAAAAUAAAACAGAAAAAACAAGAAAAAUAUAAGUCGAUAUAUGUAACAGAUUAUAUAUAUCCAAUAAAUAAUUAUUAUUAAAAACACGUGCAUAUUGCAAGUGCUGAUCAAAAUAUUCUCACAAUUAUGAUUACUCAUAAUUGAGACAAUUAAACUCUCAAUUAAGGCACAAUUAAUAAAAUAUUAAUGUCCUUAAUUAAGACACAAUUAAAACCUUCAAUUAAGGCACAAUUAACGUCCUCAAUUAGGAGGCACAAUUUACGCUCUUAAUUAAGAGGCACAAUUAAAGCCCUCAAUUAGGAGGCACAAUUAACGCGGCACAAUUAACGCCUUCCUUUCUGACACCGGAUUUCAUGCUCAUCCCGGAGCAGAACCGUCGCCGUCACCCACGUUUAGCAUGUCUUGCUUUUGCUGCAAAAGUAGGGUAUGGCGAUAAUUCAACGGAAAAGAAUCUAAACAACAAAGUCAAAACGUAGAGGGGCAAUGAAAUCUAAGCGAGGGACACAACCAUAACAUAUAAAUCAGUACAACAGUUACUGUAAUAAAUUGAACAGGGGCCUGUGAAGCUUAUCUUGAAAACAUGGUACGUUAUCGUCCUGUUGUUGUCUUCCUCCCCUUCUGUUGUUGCGAAUAUAGAUACAUCGCUAGACUUGACACAAAACUGGGAUGGGCAAAGCCGUGUGGAUUCUUUGCUUUCACCAAUUGGAGUCCAACACAAAAUCUCCUGUGCUUCUCUUUAAAUCUUCUGUUUGCCUCAUUUUCAUCGCCAUCUUCUUAAGCUAUACCCUGCGUAGAUGAGCCCUAGCAGUACGAUUGGAGGACGCGUGAGUCGUGGCCGUUGGAUCGAAAAAAUCGCGGAAAGAAUCUGGAGAGAGCCGAGGGAGAGUGUUGGCCUGUUGUUUU